Long non-coding RNA from Mus pahari (shrew mouse), 888 nucleotides. RefSeq lists it as uncharacterized. The transcript is spliced from 5 exons. Lineage: Eukaryota; Metazoa; Chordata; Mammalia; Rodentia; Muridae. The record is from RefSeq and is a predicted model, not a curated record.
GGCUGAGUUCGCCCAGGGGCAGCGUAGCCUGGUGGGGAGCGACGUGCUCUACCUAGUCAUGAUUUCAUCUUUUUAUUUUUUUAACCCCGGAGGAGCAGCCGGGGCCGCUGUAUGCCUGGUUUGAGGCCGGAUGCGUUGUGAUGGGAGACCCACCUAGACCCGGCCCUGGUGGCCGCUGGACGCGGCGACUCAGUUAGGAAAAGGGCAGGCGGUCGGAGAGGAGAAGUCGAGGUGGCUGAAACGCGGCUGCCCCGCGGAGAUCGCGGGCCUCAAGGGACUGCCCUCCCAUCCUCCAUCCCCCGCAAGGACUAAGGCCAAGCCGCGGCUGCCGCAGCCGCCGCCCCCUCUCCCCUCGUCCCCGGUCCCGGAGGCUCUGGGGUGCUGCCGCCGCUGCAACUUUCUCCUGUGAUACCCCCUCUUUGUUAUGGAGCAGCUGAUCCGCUGACAUCACCCGGCGCCGAGGAGAAUGUUCUCUUGGAGGAGGACUGUUAGUGCAGGUGCUAGGAGCAGCCUACUUGUGGCAAGAGCCUUUCCAUGUGCUGCUUUGAAAGUGUUUGGAACCAGUGUCCAUUCCCUGCCCCUACAGAAAUGGUUCUCGAAUGUGCCUAGAAGGGUCUGGUGCCGAGGCUUUGUACAAACCACUACUCCUAGCCCCUUGAUGAUGGAUUCAGGAGAGCUUCUACUGGCUGAGCACGCCCUCUGCCCCUCACUGGUCCAGUCAGGCAGGACUUCAUCACUGAGCCACUACUCCCAGGCUCCCAGCUCCUAGCUCAUGUCCCUGCAGUGUGUCCAGUAAACUAAAUUUAGACCCCCUGGGACAACAGAGAAAGAGCCACGUGGCCCGGAUCUCUGUCUUCGUGUGCCGUGGACCACAUGACAUGCUUGCCU